This is a non-coding RNA of Leptonychotes weddellii (Weddell seal), 191 nucleotides long. NCBI's taxonomy places the organism in Eukaryota, Metazoa, Chordata, Mammalia, Carnivora, Phocidae. The record is from RefSeq and is a predicted model, not a curated record.
GAGGUUGAAGAAAGAAGAGAGGACACCGAUUAAGAGCAAGAGGGAAGAAUCAGAAAAUGGAAGAAGUAUGAAUUGCCAAGUCCAAUCUGACCCACAGUGGGCUUUUUGUUAUGAUUUUAAGAAAUGCUUGCCCUGUUAUGAACCACAGUUUGUUGGUCUCCUAUCAGCAACACUGAAGUUUACCUAAACCA